Molecule: transfer RNA, 70 nt
Filed under: uncultured Thiogranum sp.
Lineage: Bacteria; Pseudomonadati; Pseudomonadota; Gammaproteobacteria; Chromatiales; Ectothiorhodospiraceae
Rfam family: tRNA
About the family: Transfer RNA (tRNA) molecules are approximately 80 nucleotides in length. Their secondary structure includes four short double-helical elements and three loops (D, anti-codon, and T loops).
Source: RNAcentral
GCAAGGUAGCUCAGUUGGUUAGAGCACCGCACUCAUAAUGCGGGGGUCGGCGGUUCAAAUCCGCCCCUUG